ACAGCAGUAGCCACGGUAAUACGUAGGUGGCAAGCGUUGUUCGGAAUUAUUGGGCGUAAAGGGCUCGCAGGCGGUUUCUUAAGUCUGAUGUGAAAGCCCCCGGCUCAACCGGGGAGGGUCACUGGAAACUGGGAAACUUGAGUGCAGAAGAGGAGAGUGGAAUUCCACGUGUAGCGGUGAAAUGCGUAGAGAUGUGGAGGAACACCAGUGGCGAAGGCGACUCUCUGGUCUGUAACUGACGCUGAGGAGCGAAAGCGUGGGGAGCGAACAGGAUUAGAUACCCCGGUAGUCCCUGUCUCUUAUAC
Molecule: ribosomal RNA, 305 nt
Filed under: uncultured bacterium
Lineage: Bacteria
Description: partial 16S ribosomal RNA
Rfam family: Bacterial small subunit ribosomal RNA
Source: RNAcentral